RNAcentral lists this ribosomal RNA (33 nucleotides) under Armillaria sp. Lineage: Eukaryota; Fungi; Basidiomycota; Agaricomycetes; Agaricales; Physalacriaceae. The record is from RNAcentral.
AACCACAGCACCCAGGAUUCCCGCGUGUCCCCC